CUGUCUGAAUAUGGGGGGACCAUCCUCCAAGGCUAAAUACUCCUGACUGACCGAUAGUGAACCAGUACCGUGAGGGAAAGGCGAAAAGAACCCCGGCGAGGGGAGUGAAAAAGAACCUGAAACCGUGUACGUACAAGCAGUGGGAGCACCCUUCGGGGUGUGACUGCGUACCUUUUGUAUAAUGGGUCAGCGACUUAUAUUCUGUAGCAAGGUUAACCGAAUAGGGGAGCCGGAGGGAAACCGAGUCUUAAUUGGGCGUUAAGUUGCAGGGUAUAGACCCGAAACCCGGUGAUCUAGCCAUGGGCAGGUUGAAGGUUGGGUAACACUAACUGGAGGACCGAACCGACUAAUGUUGAAAAAUUAGCGGAUGACCUGUGGCUGGGGGUGAAAGGCCAAUCAAACCGGGAGAUAGCUGGUUCUCCCCGAAAGCUAUUUAGGUAGCGCCUCGUGAAUUCAUCUCCGGGGGUAGAGCACUGUUUCGGCUAGGGGGCCAUCCCGGCUUACCAACCCGAUGCAAACUGCGAAUACCGGAGAAUGUUAUCACGGGAGACACACGGCGGGUGCUAACGUCCGUCGUGAAGAGGGAAACAACCCAGACCGCCAGCUAAGGUCCCAAAGUCAUGGUUAAGUGGGAAACGAUGUGGGAAGGCCCAGACAGCCAGGAUGUUGGCUUAGAAGCAGCCAUCAUUUAAAGAAAGCGUAAUAGCUCACUGGUCGAGUCGGCCUGCGCGGAAGAUGUAACGGGGCUAAACCAUGCACCGAAGCUGCGGCAGCGACACUGUGUGUUGUUGGGUAGGGGAGCGUUCUGUAAGCCUGUGAAGGUGUGUCGUGAGGCAUGCUGGAGGUAUCAGAAGUGCGAAUGCUGACAUAAGUAACGAUAAAGCGGGUGAAAAGCCCGCUCGCCGGAAGACCAAGGGUUCCUGUCCAACGUUAAUCGGGGCAGGGUGAGUCGACCCCUAAGGCGAGGCCGAAAGGCGUAGUCGAUGGGAAACGGGUUAAUAUUCCCGUACUUGGUGUUACUGCGAAGGGGGGACGGAGAAGGCUAUGUUGGCCGGGCGACGGUUGUCCCGGUUUAAGCGUGUAGGUGUGUGUUCCAGGUAAAUCCGGUUCACUUUAACACUGAGGCGUGACGACGAGGCACUACGGUGCUGAAGCAACAAAUGCCCUGCUUCCAGGAAAAGCCUCUAAGCAUCAGGUAACAUCAAAUCGUACCCCAAACCGACACAGGUGGUCAGGUAGAGAAUACCAAGGCGCUUGAGAGAACUCGGGUGAAGGAACUAGGCAAAAUGGUGCCGUAACUUCGGGAGAAGGCACGCUGACACGUAGGUGAAGUGAUUUACUCAUGGAGCUGAAGUCAGUCGAAGAUACCAGCUGGCUGCAACUGUUUAUUAAAAACACAGCACUGUGCAAACACGAAAGUGGACGUAUACGGUGUGACGCCUGCCCGGUGCCGGAAGGUUAAUUGAUGGGGUCAGCGCAAGCGAAGCUCCUGAUCGAAGCCCCGGUAAACGGCGGCCGUAACUAUAACGGUCCUAAGGUAGCGAAAUUCCUUGUCGGGUAAGUUCCGACCUGCACGAAUGGCGUAAUGAUGGCCAGGCUGUCUCCACCCGAGACUCAGUGAAAUUGAACUCGCUGUGAAGAUGCAGUGUACCCGCGGCAAGACGGAAAGACCCCGUGAACCUUUACUAUAGCUUGACACUGAACAUUGAGCCUUGAUGUGUAGGAUAGGUGGGAGGCUUUGAAGCGUGGACGCCAGUCUGCGUGGAGCCG
This 1770-nucleotide ribosomal RNA is filed under the name Salmonella enterica subsp. enterica serovar Stanley. RNAcentral's name for it is "partial 23S ribosomal RNA". It matches the Rfam family "Bacterial large subunit ribosomal RNA", at positions 434 to 2188 of the family's 2925-position model. Lineage: Bacteria; Pseudomonadati; Pseudomonadota; Gammaproteobacteria; Enterobacterales; Enterobacteriaceae. The record is from RNAcentral.